This 1235-nucleotide unclassified non-coding RNA is filed under the name Venturia canescens. Its description in RNAcentral is "uncharacterized LOC122418997, transcript variant X1". Lineage: Eukaryota; Metazoa; Arthropoda; Insecta; Hymenoptera; Ichneumonidae. The record is from RNAcentral.
AUGAGAGUGAAUAUCGAAAGCUCAUUGAUCUCACGGUUCUGCUGAGUGCCGUUAUAACUAAUGAGCCAAAAAUAGUCGGAAUGUACUUUCAUCGCAGCGUCUCACUAAUUGAAUCGUCAGAUGUUAUUCGCGUGGAUUGGAAUCGUCGAGACGUUUAGCGAGCUGGCUCGACGAGCUGAUGAUCCAUAUCUUACGGAUCGUAAUUCCGAUUAUAUCGUAAAGAUAAAAUACGGAAAGGAUCACACCGUGGAGGAGAGCAUUAAUAUGAGAGCAACAGGAGAGAAAUAAAGCACUGGAUGUUCGAGCCACGAGCGAUAAUUUCUCUGGUUGGAGGUUCCUGUCCACGGACCGAGCCGUGGGACCGUCAGGUCGCCGUCGCGAAGCGUAUGUUACCCGUCAAAUUUGAAGUUUCGCACAGUUCAGGAUCCGCAAGGUUUGACGACGAGAAGCCUGGGAACGGCCCAAAAUAUUUGAUUAGCGAGAAACCCCAUCGGGAUGCCAUCCCUGCAGCGAAAAGUCGCCUCCGAGAAAUCCACCUCCGGAAACUCCUCCGCACCGAAGUGCUGGACCCACCAAGCUAUUUCUGCGUGUCCGACGAUUCCGAACGGUCAUCCCGAGGCGCUCAGGACUCACCGAAUGUUCCUACGUUUUCCAAUCUGACGGAUUUCCCACGAGGCGAAUGUCACGAAUGGCGAAUUUUCUUAAUUUCCCUCAAAACUAUUCAUUUGUUUCGUUUACUCCCUUCCAUGGAGUUCUUCCACAGCGCUCAUUAGAUUUACGAAAUACAAUUUUUCCAAAUCUUUGAAGCUCCCUUCUGAUCUUAACAACGAUUACGAAAUAGUUACGAAAUGAGUGUAAUCGCUCGCUAAAAUCCUGUAUCUCACGUCUAUCAUUUAUUCGACACGUACCGUUGUAUCUCAAUUCGAAAAUGCUGCACUCAAAUUGUUAAUAAGUUAGAAUUUCUCACGCAAAAAAUGAAGUGCGCCAGUGAAAUAUGCUUCGAAACAUUGUAGUUCGUAUAAGAGAAGAAUAAUAAGCAUCGCUGGUUCUGGGAGGAGCUUACAGGGUCGUUUAUUGCCACAGAAUAUAUCAUAUAUCUCGAUGUUAUUUCAUAACGACAAUUGGCAGUUACAGCUUCAACGCGUACCCGUUCAAUUAAACCUUUCUGGCUAUAUUUGCGUAUGGCAUCAAACGUUUGGUAUUUCCCCUUCCAAGUAAACGAGCAAGACACAAAA